AUGCCCGCAAAAGAUUUGGAGGAAAUUAAGAAGCAGAUCAAGGAGUUACUGGAUAAAGGCUAUAUUCGCCCAAGUUCGUCACCUUGGGGAUCACCAGUACUUCUAGUGGAGAAGAAAGAUGGAUCACUGAGGAUGGUUGUUGAUUACCGUGGAUUGAAUGAAGUGACCAUCAAAAACAAGUACCCACUGCCGAUGAUCAGUGAUUUGUUUGACCGCCUGCAAGGAGCUAAAGUAUUUUCCAAGAUCGAUCUACGAUCAGGAUACCAUCAGUUAAAGAUUCGAGAGCAGGAUAUACCUAAGACGGCUUUUACCACCAGAUAUGGAUUGUAUGAGUAUACCGUUAUGUCAUUUAGUCUGACUAACGCGCCUGCCUAUUUUAUGAACCUGAUGAACAAAGUGUUUAUGGAAUUUCUGGAUAAGUUCGUCGUGGUGUUCAUUGAUGAUAUUUUAAUCUUUUCCGAGGAUGAGGAAGAGCAUGAGGAGCAUUUGCGAUUGGUACUUGAGAAGCUCAGAGAACAUCAGUUAUAUGCCAAGUUCAGCAAAUGUGAAUUUUGGUUGAAGGAAGUUGGAUUCCUUGGACAUGUUUUCUGGAGAAGGAAUAGCAGUGGACCCUGCCAAGGUUGA
Molecule: ribosomal RNA, 624 nt
Filed under: Triticum aestivum (bread wheat)
Lineage: Eukaryota; Viridiplantae; Streptophyta; Magnoliopsida; Poales; Poaceae
Description: partial small subunit ribosomal RNA
Source: RNAcentral